UAUUGCGCAAUGGGCGAAAGCCUGACGCAGCGACACCGCGUGAAGGAUGAAGGUCUUAGGAUCGUAAACUUCUGUUAAGUGCCCAGAAAGAGUCGCUUCUAAUAUAGGCGAAAGAUGACGUUAUCACUAAAGAAAGCACCGGCUAAUCUCGUGCCAACAGCCGCGGUAAUACGAGAGGUGCAAGCGUUAUUCGGAAUUAUUGGGCGUAAAGGGUACGUAGACGGUUUUUUAAGUCUCUUGUUUAAUUUUCCGGCCUAACUGGGGGUCAGCGAGGGAUACUGAUAAACUUGAGGAUGGAAGAGGGAAGUGGAAUUCUCGGAGUAGCGGUUAAAUGCGUAGAUCUCGAGAGGAACACCGAGGCGAAAGCAGCUUCCUGUCCAUUCUACGUCAAGCACGAAA
RNAcentral lists this ribosomal RNA (399 nucleotides) under uncultured bacterium. RNAcentral's name for it is "bacterial SSU rRNA". It matches the Rfam family "Bacterial small subunit ribosomal RNA", at positions 362 to 758 of the family's 1533-position model. The record is from RNAcentral.